GGCCGUGGCCUCGCGGUAUGCAUCUAGAUUAGAGUUUGAUCAUGGCUCAGAACGAACGCUGGCGGCAGGCUUAACACAUGCCAUAAAAGAGCGCGAGAUCACCUUCGGGUGAUGGAGAGCGGCCCUUACGGAGAUGAGUAACGCGUGGGAACCUACCCUUUGGUUCGGAAUAACUUUGGGAAACUGAAGCUAAUACCGGAUAAGCCCCGUAAGGGGGAAAGAUUUAUCGCCAAAGGACGGGCCCGCGUUGGAUUAGGUAGUUGGUGGGGUAACGGCCUACCAAGCCGACGAUCCAUAGCUGUUCUGAGAGGAUGGUCAGCCACAGGGGAACUGAGACACGGUCCCCACUCCUACGRSAGGCAGYRGUAGAGGAAAUWUUGRGCCAAUUGGGCGCMAGCCUGACCMRGCAAUGCCGCGUGCSGGAACGAAGKUCCCUCSGAUCGUAAACCGCUUUUGUGGGGGGGAGUAGCAAGGAGAGUACCCCCACGAAUAAGUCACGGCUAACUACGUGCCAGCAGCCGCGGUAAUACGUARGUUGACAAAUGUUAUCCGGAAUCACUGGGCGUAAAGGGUCUGUAGGCGGUUACUUAGGUCUGAUGUGACACCUCACGGCUUAACUGUGAGAGCGCAUUGGAAACCGGGUGACUAGAAUCACGUCCGAGGUCGGUGGAAUUCCCGGUGUAGUGGUGGAAUGCGUAGAGAUCGGGAGGAACCUCGAAAGCGAAGGCAGCGGGCUAGACGAUGAUUGACGCUGAGGGACGAUAGCGUGGGUAGCAAACAGGAUUAGAUACCCUGGUAGUCCACGCCCGUAAACGAUGUGUGCUCGGUGUGUGUGGGUAAAACCAUGCGCGCCUCAGCCAACGCGAUAAGCGCACCGCCUGGGGAGUACGGCCGCAAGGCUAAAACUCAAAGGAAUUGACGGGGACCCGCACAAGCAGCGGAGCGUGUGGUUUAAUUCGAAGCAACGCGCAGAACCUUACCAGCCUUUGACAUCCCGGUCGCGAUUACCAGAGAUGGUUUUCUUCAGUUCGGCUGGACCGGUGACAGGUGCUGCAUGGCUGUCGUCAGCUCGUGUCGUGAGAUGUUGGGUUAAGUCCCGCAACGAGCGCAACCCUCGUCCUUAGUUGCUACCAUUCAAUUGGGCACUCUAAGGAAACUGCCGAUGAUAAGCCGGAGGAAGGUGGGGAUGACGUCAAGUCCUCAUGGCCCUUACAGGCUGGGCUACACACGUGCUACAAUGGCGGUGACAGUGGGCAGCGACCCCGCAAGGGUGAGCUAAUCUCCAAAAGCCGUCUCAGUUCGGAUUGUUCUCUGCAACUCGAGAGCAUGAAGGCGGAAUCGCUAGUAAUCGCGGAUCAGCAUGCCGCGGUGAAUACGUUCCCAGGCCUUGUACACACCGCCCGUCACACCAUGGGAGUUGGUUUCACCCGAAGAUGGUGCGCUAACCCGUAAGGGAGGCAGCCAGCCACGGUGGGAUCAGCGACUGGGGUGAAGUCGUAACAAGGUAACGGUAAGGUUUGUCU
This 1523-nucleotide ribosomal RNA is filed under the name uncultured Alphaproteobacteria bacterium. RNAcentral describes it as "partial 16S ribosomal RNA". It matches the Rfam family "Bacterial small subunit ribosomal RNA". The record is from RNAcentral. Lineage: Bacteria; Pseudomonadati; Pseudomonadota; Alphaproteobacteria.